RNAcentral lists this ribosomal RNA (486 nucleotides) under uncultured bacterium. RNAcentral's name for it is "bacterial SSU rRNA". It matches the Rfam family "Bacterial small subunit ribosomal RNA", at positions 501 to 987 of the family's 1533-position model. The record is from RNAcentral.
CUACGUGCCAGCAGCCGCGGUAAUACGUAGGGUGCGAGCGUUAAUCGGAAUUACUGGGCGUAAAGCGAGCGCAGACGGUUACUUAAGCAGGAUGUGAAAUCCCCGGGCUCAACCUGGGAACUGCGUUCUGAACUGGGUGACUAGAGUGUGUCAGAGGGAGGUAGAAUUCCACGUGUAGCAGUGAAAUGCGUAGAGAUGUGGAGGAAUACCGAUGGCGAAGGCAGCCUCCUGGGAUAACACUGACGUUCAUGCCCGAAAGCGUGGGUAGCAAACAGGAUUAGAUACCCUGGUAGUCCACGCCCUAAACGAUGUCGAUUAGCUGUUGGGCAGCAUGACUGCUUAGUAGCGAAGCUAACGCGUGAAAUCGACCGCCUGGGGAGUACGGUCGCAAGAUUAAAACUCAAAGGAAUUGACGGGGACCCGCACAAGCGGUGGAUGAUGUGGAUUAAUUCGAUGCAACGCGAAGAACCUUACCKGUCUUGACAU